UAGUGAGGAAAUAUACUAUAUGCAUACACAGAGAGGAGGGAUAAAAAAACAAUGGGCGCGAAAAUAGAGAAGACUUAUUAGUACAAAAGAAAACAAGUACAAUUCAAAGCCGUUCGCUAAUUAAUACAAAACAGAAAAAAAAACUCUCAAACACAUAAGGAACAGAUCUCGCCACAACAAACAUUGAGGAAGAAGCUCAACAAUCUCGGAGGCAAAAGAAAGUCGCUUAUCAAACUGUUCUAAAACAUUAUUAAAAUAAUCAUAAUGGCUAAUAAUCGUAAUGAUAAUAACAUUGCUCAUAAAGCAGAAAGCAAGAUCGCUUAAAAAGCUAAGCAAAGGAAAUAAAAAAAAAACAAGAGCCGAUUAACCAAAUAAAAAAACGAAAUAUUUUUUUUCAUGUAGCUAUUUUUACUUGUAUGAUUGCAAAUUUUCGAUCACGUAUAUACCGCCACAAAAUUUACUUUCGCUGUUUCAAUUCAUUUUUAUACACAGAUUAUAAUACAUACACAUAGCCAAUAAAGCCUGCGUGUACCACAUAUUUUUAAGCGCAAUAAAAACAAAAUGUAAAUGAGCAAUCCCCAAAAAUGUAUAUUCGUACUUUCAGUACCAAUACAACCAACUCACGAGAACAUCACACACCAAUACACAUAAAACCGAAUCCACAACGCAUCACUCAACUCGAUCGAAAAACGGUAUUUUUUUCAAUCCCCAUUAGUACAGCGAAAACGUACUUCAACGCAGUUUUGUCCGCUACAUGUUCCCUCCAAUGAAGUAAAAUGGAAACAACAGAAAAAAGUGUGGAAAAUUUAGAUAAUCAAAUAAAAAAGGCAUCCGCUCUGCUUGAAUUUGUACUCUCGCUACUUAACAUAGAUUGAGAAAAAACAGUGUCAGAUGAGAACUGCGACAUUUGCACAUAUUUUCUCCGAGUGGGCAACAUUUCAGAUCUAAAGGGAAGGCAAAGAUAAUAAAUUUUGAAAAAAAAAUAUACUGAGCGGCCGCAAAUAAAAUGUCCAAGACGACCAUGAACAUCAACUGCUGAUCAACACGCCAAUAAAAUGAAUGAAUUUCUACUUGACCAAGGAUGUCAUGAAACGAAUUACUACUGGAUCUAUGUUUACGACUUGGAAACAAACGAUCAAUCGGCCGAAUAUCAAGACAAAGGUGAGCCAAAGCCGAUAAACAUAUGUUAAAUAAGGUAAAAAAUAAAGGUUAUGUUUCCUUCCGACCGGCUAAACUAAUGCUAUUUCAGUGUUGUGCGACAACUCUUGGUUUUUGCACCACGAUAAUGCACUGUCGAACACUGCAUUGAUUUUUCGUGAAUUUUUCGCCGAACUUUUAACCAAUAUCUUUUUGCAACCACGUAUUUGCCUUAUUUUGCUCCGCGUGACUUCUGGCUCUUCAGCAAACUUAAAUGACCACUUCAAGGAAACCGCUUUGUGUCAAUUUAAAACAAUAGCAGGAGCUCAUUAUUCAAUAAAAUAUAUACCUGAAAAUAUUGUAGCCAUAAGAACAAUUAUACUCGUAUAUAGAAAAUUAUAGUUUUGAGACAUGUACAUUAAAUAAAAAGCAUACAAUUUAUUAAAUAGAAUUGUUAAAGUAGAUUAUGCUCAAAAAAUGUGAAAAUCAUUGCUUAUCAAAAAAAGGCAAAAAUAUAUAGAAUAGUAUACUAAAAUUAGACCUAUAUUGUAAAACAAUAUACAAAACAUGCCUACAAAAAAAUUUGAAUAAGCAAUUGUAAAAUAGCCUUUUAUUGGUGUAUGAGGUGUGCAAUACGCAAAUAAACACAUACAAAAUGACCAGGAUGGAGAGACGAGUUGAAAUCCGGUUGAUCGACUGCGUAUUCGUCCGACGGCCCGUGCAAGCUCUAAAUGGACUAAAAAUUUAGAUAAAUGAUGAAACUUGGUAUACCCAUUCCUUUGCACAAAAAAAAAAAAACAAUAAAAAAAUAAAUAAAUAAAUAAAAUACGGGAAGGGCGUAACCAGAGAUAUGCGGAUGCAAUCGAAGUACGAAAGGAUUUCGGAAUGUUCUUCUCUCAGACCCAUAAUGUCUGCUUGCAAUGUGUCGUAUGUGCAGAAUGGCAUUAACUGCCAUCGUUAGUUUUGUACGUAGUGGAGGACUAAUGCCAAUGAGAGCCGCUCGUUGAACACGUUCCAACAGUUUAGCAAGUGUGACUUUACCGAGCGCCCAUCACCACACAAAUACUACAUAGUAUUGGCUUAACUAUGGUUUCAUAAAGACAAACCACAACUGUUGAUGUGAGACACCACCGCUUCCCAACAGCUCCUUUUCUUCAACAUAGGGUAAUCAAUGCCUUCUUUCUUAGUGCACGCGCAAUACUACAUUCCACCGCUACAAUUUUUAAUUGGAGUAUUAAUGUCGAGAAAUGUCUUAUGGCUCCCUCCAGCCAUAAGAUAACAACGUGCAGAGUAGUGUCUACCGACCUACCUUUAAAGUAUGCAUAUCGAGCGUACAGGUAUGAUGAUCCUGACGUACAGGGCCAUAAGCCUCUAUUCAAAAGAAACGAGAAGAGGAUAAUAGGCCUGAAAUCCUUGACAUUAAUACGCCUCUAAGCGCCCUGAAAAUGUAGCAUAAUCUAACAGAGUUUGCGUAGAUGGGGGUCAACCAGCUCUAUGAAGUUGCGUAGGUAUGAUGCCAACAGUCCCGGUGAUUGAAGUGAAUUUAAGGCCCAUUUGAAAUGGCAUUCGUCUAGAAGAUCUAAGAAGACUGUACCACGAUUCUGAAGCCCUCAAGGGUACACUUUCUGUGUGUAUUAAUGCAUUGGAAAGUGAACGCCUAGGAAUAUUUUUAACGACUUCUCAACGCUCAAAGUUCAGUCACCAUCCUUAUUUCUAAGAUAAUCUUUGGAAGUAUUAGUAAGUAUUUGGAAGUAUUUGUCACAGAUCACGGAAAGAUCUCCUUGAAACUCUAUCGGACUUCUUUAUUUCUAUUUGUAUAUAGCAUGCCGUGCAUUAUACAGCGCCCAUUCGCUAAUAGGAAUUAAUUUUCUUAUAACAUUUAUGUGUUUUCUUCAUAUUUUCCUAACGGUGAGUGCGUGGAAAAUCAAAUUUCAAAUAUGGAAAAGUUCAAAACGUACAAGUACUGUGACAUAAAAAGCGAAAUAAAAAAAAAACGUCUUUCUUGGUUUUAUUAAAUUGUCUUUGGCUAAAUGAGCCUCAGUCAACUGCCCCUUACAACUUGUCACCCGCAAACGCCAUAUUAACAGCGAACACACAUCAUUCACAACCUUUACAUAUAAAUAACUAACAUUCUACAUUUACCACAUUAAAAUAUACAUUCACCACACUCACCUCGACAUCACCUACAACCCACAUCCUACACCAACUAUGAUACCACUGCAUUAUACACCACAACAAAAAAGAAAUAAAAGGAGCGGAAAAAGAAGAUCGUCGUUCUUUUUCGCGAUACGCGGUCGAAGGAAGCUGUGUUCUGCUCAUCCCGUGUAUUAUCUUUGGUACAUAUUUUUACGAACAUUUUUUUUUUAAACAGGACAAAUUUUUUAUAACAAUUCUUGAGGAAUUUCAUGUUUUUUCG
RNAcentral lists this long non-coding RNA (3553 nucleotides) under Bactrocera latifrons. Its description in RNAcentral is "uncharacterized LOC108974077, transcript variant X2". Lineage: Eukaryota; Metazoa; Arthropoda; Insecta; Diptera; Tephritidae. The record is from RNAcentral.